UGGAAUCUUGAGCUCGGUAAGAAUGGAU
RNAcentral lists this non-coding RNA (28 nucleotides) under Bombyx mori (domestic silkworm). Lineage: Eukaryota; Metazoa; Arthropoda; Insecta; Lepidoptera; Bombycidae. The record is from RNAcentral.